CCUACGGGAGGCAGCAGUGAGGAAUAUUGGUCAAUGGACGGAAGUCUGAACCAGCCAUGCCGCGUGCAGGAAGACGGCUCUAUGAGUUGUAAACUGCUUUUGUACAAGGGUAAAACUGAAUACGUGUAUUCAUCUGCAAGUACUGUACGAAUAAGGAUCGGCUAACUCCGUGCCAGCAGCCGCGGUAAUACGGAGGAUCCGAGCGUUAUCCGGAUUUAUUGGGUUUAAAGGGUGCGUAGGCGGAUUGUUAAGUUAGAUGUGAAAUGUCCGUGCUUAACUCUGGAACUGCAUUUAAUACUGGUGAUCUAGAGUGUAGAUGCGGUAGGCGGAAUGUGUGGUGUAGCGGUGAAAUGCUUAGAGAUCAUAAAGAACCCCGAUUGCGAAGGCAGCUUACCAAUCUGUGUCUGACGUUGAGGCACGAAAGCGUGGGGAGCAAACAGGAUUAGAUACCCUAGUAGUC
This 460-nucleotide ribosomal RNA is filed under the name uncultured bacterium. RNAcentral's name for it is "partial 16S ribosomal RNA". It matches the Rfam family "Bacterial small subunit ribosomal RNA", at positions 338 to 795 of the family's 1533-position model. The record is from RNAcentral.